CUGGGCUGGGGCUGCACCGGGCUCCUCAUUGUUUGCUGAGUGGCCCCGCGACGCCGGUGCCGCCGUGGGCCUGCCUGCCCGCUGCGCCGCAGGCCUCGUGCCCUGCCCGACGGUGGCAGCUCCUCGUCCCCGGCUGCACGGGGGUCUGAUGAGGCAGAGACCUCGGCCAGCUUGGAGCUCCUCUCCCUGGGCCCGCCGCGCUGUCUGCUG
Molecule: long non-coding RNA, 210 nt
Filed under: Gallus gallus (chicken)
Lineage: Eukaryota; Metazoa; Chordata; Aves; Galliformes; Phasianidae
Source: RNAcentral